UUUUAUAGUUGAUACUACAACGGUGGUUUUUCAGGCCGCAGGUCUCGAUGGCUCGAGUGAAAAUU
Molecule: transfer RNA, 65 nt
Filed under: Chilabothrus argentum (Conception Bank silver boa)
Lineage: Eukaryota; Metazoa; Chordata; Lepidosauria; Squamata; Boidae
Description: tRNA-Glu
Source: RNAcentral